UGGGGAAUAUUGCGCAAUGGUCGAAAGACUGACGCAGCGACGCCGCGUGUGGGAGGAAGCCUUUCGGGGUGUAAACCACUGUCAGGGGGGAAGAACCCCGGGUACACGAAUAGGGUGCCCGGCUGACGGUACCUCCAGAGGAAGCGCCGGCUAACUCCGUGCCAGCAGCCGCGGUAAGACGGAGGGCGCAAGCGUUGUUCGGAAUUACUGAGCGUAAAGCGCACGCAGGCGGUUUGCUCAGUCCUUUGUGAAAGCCCGGGGCUCAACCCCGGAAUUGCAUCGGAUACUGGUAGACUGGAGACAGGUAGAGGCUAGCGGAAUUCCUGGAGUAGCGGUGGAAUGCGUAGAUAUCAGGAAGAACACCUGUGGCGAAGGCGGCUAGCUGGGCCUGUUCUGACGCUCAUGUGCGAAAGCGUGGGGAGCAAACA
RNAcentral lists this ribosomal RNA (428 nucleotides) under uncultured bacterium. RNAcentral describes it as "bacterial SSU rRNA". It matches the Rfam family "Bacterial small subunit ribosomal RNA", at positions 355 to 774 of the family's 1533-position model. The record is from RNAcentral.